This 497-nucleotide ribosomal RNA is filed under the name uncultured bacterium. RNAcentral's name for it is "partial 16S ribosomal RNA". It matches the Rfam family "Bacterial small subunit ribosomal RNA", at positions 28 to 507 of the family's 1533-position model. The record is from RNAcentral.
GAUGAACGCUGGCGGCGUGCCUAAUACAUGCAAGUCGAGCGAACGGACGAGAAGCUUGCUUCUCUGAUGUUAGCGGCGGACGGGUGAGUAACACGUGGAUAACCUACCUAUAAGACUGGGGUAAGUUCGGGAAACCGGAGCUAAUACCGGAUAAUAUUUUGAACCGCAGGGUUCAAAAGUGAAAGACGGUCUUGCUGUCACUUAUAGAUGGAUCCGCGCUGCAUUAGCUAGUUGGUAAGGUAACGGCUUACCAAGGCAACGAUGCGUAGCCGACCUGAGAGGGUGAUCAGCCACACUGGAACUGAGACACGGUCCAGACUCCUACGGGAGGCAGCAGUGGGGAAUAUUCCGCAAUGGGCGAAAGCCUGACGGAGCAACGCCGCGUGAGUGAUGAAGGUCUUCGGAUCGUAAAGCUCUGUUAUUAGGGAAGAACAUAUGUGUAAGUAACUGUGCACAUCUUGACGGUACCUAAUCAGAAAGCCACGGCUAACUACGUG